GUCCUGCUAGCUCAGUCAGUAGAGCGAGAGACUUAGGGUCAUGGGUUUGAGCCCCAUGUUGGCCA
Podarcis lilfordi (Lilford's wall lizard) is the source of this 65-nucleotide non-coding RNA. The record is from the annotation of a GenBank genome assembly. NCBI's taxonomy places the organism in Eukaryota, Metazoa, Chordata, Lepidosauria, Squamata, Lacertidae.